This 154-nucleotide ribosomal RNA is filed under the name Rhododendron griersonianum. RNAcentral describes it as "5.8S ribosomal RNA". It matches the Rfam family "5.8S ribosomal RNA". From Rfam's summary of the family: 5.8S ribosomal RNA (5.8S rRNA) is a component of the large subunit of the eukaryotic ribosome. It is transcribed by RNA polymerase I as part of the 45S precursor that also contains 18S and 28S rRNA. Functionally, it is thought that 5.8S rRNA may be involved in ribosome translocation. The record is from RNAcentral. Lineage: Eukaryota; Viridiplantae; Streptophyta; Magnoliopsida; Ericales; Ericaceae.
ACUCUCGGCAACGGAUAUCUCGGCUCUUGCAUCGAUGAAGAACGUAGCGAAAUGCGAUACUUGGUGUGAAUUGCAGAAUCCUGUGAACCAUCGAGUCUUUGAACGCAAGUUGCGCCUGAAGCCAUUAGGUUGAAGGCACGUCUGCCUGGGCGUC